RNAcentral lists this ribosomal RNA (406 nucleotides) under uncultured bacterium. Its description in RNAcentral is "partial 16S ribosomal RNA". It matches the Rfam family "Bacterial small subunit ribosomal RNA", at positions 29 to 526 of the family's 1533-position model. The record is from RNAcentral.
AUUGAACGCUGGCGGACGGCCUAACACAUGCAAGUAGAACGAGUGGCGUACGGGUGAGUAAUGGCUGGGAAACUGCCUGAAAGAGGGGGAUAACUACGGGAAACGGUACCUAAUCCCGCAUACCAUCAUAUGUGCCCAGAUGGGCUUAGCUUGUUGGUGGGGUAACGCCUCCCCAAGGCGACGGUCCCUAGCUGGUCUGAGAGGAUGACCAGCCAGACGGGAACGGAGACACGGCCCAGACUCCCACGGGAGCCACCGCGGGGGAAGAUUGGACAAUGGGCGCAAGCCUGACGCAGCCAUGCCGCGUGUAGCAAUAAGGCCUUCGGGUUGUAAAGUACUUUCAGCGGGGAGGCGUUACCCGCAGAAGAAGCACCGGCUAACGCCGUGCCAGCAGCCGCGGUAAUAC